UUUGACCCUGGUCUCAUAUGCGCCAAGAACCUCAAAUUUAAAAUUGGGAUUUUUUUUUACUUAAAAAAAAAAUCUGACUACCCUCAAAUAUACAAAUGAUUCUAGUCUUCCCUGAUUUCUAAAAGGUCCUGAUACCAAACAUGAACCUGCAUUUUCAUCCAUCUUUGCAACCAGUAUUGAUAGAGUGGCUACUGUGACUUGCACUAAGCUGGGUGGGCAUGCUUUAGGCACCCAGGGAAGCAAGGCAUGGUCUCUCACCUCAAGGAGCCCACCCACUUCCAGGAGAAACAGCUUUGCCACUUCAUUCUUGGGCCCACGCUGAAGAACCAGUCUUUUUCUGAAACAUUGCUAAGAAUGUGGCAGAAGGAAGAGAUAUGGCAGAACUUCAUCAUGGCCCUGACAAACUCUGCUCUGAAAACCUUCAUGAUGGUGCUGAAAACUGACUCCCCCUGAGAGUUCCUUGGCUAAAUGAGUCACUUGGCCAAGCCUGACAUCCUCAGAGUGGGAAAACAAUCUUCCCAAAAUAAGGGCACCAUAAAUUACAUAGCCAAACCUCAUGUCAGUAGAAUGGCAGGUAAAAUCCUCCCACAAGAAGGAGCAGCAUAUAUUUGGAAAUAAAAAAUGCAGUCCACUACAUCUCAAUCAUUACAGCCUCAGAGGCUGAAAAUUUGUCACAGGGUGAUAUGGUUUGUCUGUAUCCCCACCCAAAUCUCGUCCUGAGUUGUAGUUUCCAUAAUUUCUGUGUGUCAUGGGAGGGACCUGGUGGGAGGUAAUUGAAUCAGGGGACAGGUCUUUCUCAUGCUCUUCUAGUGAUAGUGAAUAAGUCUUAUGAGAUCUGAUAGUUUUAUAAAGGGGGGUUCUUCCACACACGCUCUCUCGCCUGCUGCCAUGUAAGACGUGACUUUGCUCCUCAUUUGCCUUCCGUCAUGAUUUUGAGGCCUCCCCAGCCAUGUGGGACUGUG
This 962-nucleotide long non-coding RNA is filed under the name Homo sapiens (human). RNAcentral describes it as "HSALNT0319680". Lineage: Eukaryota; Metazoa; Chordata; Mammalia; Primates; Hominidae. The record is from RNAcentral.